Molecule: ribosomal RNA, 537 nt
Filed under: uncultured Bacteroidota bacterium
Lineage: Bacteria; Pseudomonadati; Bacteroidota
Description: uncultured Bacteroidetes bacterium partial 16S ribosomal RNA
Source: RNAcentral
UUCUUGCGAAGUACUCCCCAGGUGGUUACUUAACGCUUUCGCUUGGACACUGACUGUAUAUCGCCAAUAUCGAGUGAACAUAGUUUAGGGCGUGGACUACCAGGGUAUCUAAUCCUGUUCGCUCCCCACGCUUUCGUGCCUCAGCGUCAAUAAUAGUUUAGCUAGCUGCCUUCGCAAUUGGUGUUCUACAACAUAUCUAUGCAUUUCACCGCUACAUGUUGUAUUCCGCCAGCCUCAACUAUAUUCAAGAAAAUCAGUAUCAAUGGCAGUUCCCAAGUUGAGCUCGGGGCUUUCACCACUGACUUAAUUUCCCGCCUGCGCACCCUUUAAACCCAAUGAUUCCGGAUAACGCUUGGAUCCUCCGUAUUACCGCGGCUGCUGGCACGGAGUUAGCCGAUCCUUAUUCUUACAGUACCGUCAAGCUCCCUCACGAGGGAGUGUUUCUUCCUGUACAAAAGCAGUUUACAACCCAUAGGGCAGUCUUCCUGCACGCGGCAUGGCUGGAUCAGGCUCUCGCCCAUUGUCCAAUAUUCCUCA